CGGAGGGUGCAAGCGUUGCUCGGAAUCACUGGGCGUAAAGCGACCGCAGGCGGCCUGACAAGUCGGAUGUGAAAGCCCUGGGCUCAACUCAGGAACAGCAUUCGAAACUGGUAGGCUCGAGUACGGGAGAGGGGGGUGGAAUUCCUGGUGUAGGGGUGAAAUUCGUUGAUAUCAGGAGGAACACCGGCGGCGAAGGCGGCCCCCUGGCCCGCAACUGACGCUCAUGGUCGAAAGCGUGGGGAGCAAACAGGAUUAGAUACCCUGGUAGUCCACGCCGUAAACGAUGAUUGCUAGGUGUUGGUGGUAUUCACCCCAUCAGUGCCGAAGUUAACGCAUUAAGCAAUCCGCCUGGGAAGUACGGCCGCAAGGCUAA
Molecule: ribosomal RNA, 373 nt
Filed under: uncultured organism
Description: bacterial SSU rRNA
Rfam family: Bacterial small subunit ribosomal RNA
Source: RNAcentral